Rattus norvegicus (Norway rat) is the source of this 106-nucleotide small nuclear RNA. The record is from Ensembl. Lineage: Eukaryota; Metazoa; Chordata; Mammalia; Rodentia; Muridae.
UCGCUUUGGCAGCCUACAUAUUAAAAUUGGACAGAUACAGAGAAGAUUGUUAUUGUGACCCCUGUAUAAGGAUGGCAUUUUAAUUUAUGAUGUAGUUCAUAAUUUA